RNAcentral lists this long non-coding RNA (855 nucleotides) under Malus domestica (apple). RNAcentral describes it as "long non-coding RNA (MDOM_LNC014849)". Lineage: Eukaryota; Viridiplantae; Streptophyta; Magnoliopsida; Rosales; Rosaceae. The record is from RNAcentral.
CGUUGGAACGAGAUAUACAUUAUAAUGAAUUGAUCGUUGAGCAGUACACUUCAGUGUAAGAGCCAUACUAGCACAUAACCAGUAGGGAUUGCAAGAAGGUGAAGAUAAUUAAAAUGAGCUUGUGGUUGAAGAAUAAAGUGUAUUUUUUUAAGUUUAUGUAAUUUUAUUUAGUGUGUGUGUGUUUUUUUUUAAAGUUUAUUUGGUGAGGUUAUGUAAAUUUAAUUGGUGUUUUUUUAUUUUUAAGUUUAUUUGGUGAGUUUAUGUAAUCUUAUUUGAUGUGUUUAAAUAAGGUACAAAAAAUAAAUUUGAAAUUGCAUAAAGUUCUAAAAAUAAAUAAGAAAUUACAUAAAGUACUGAUAAUAAAUAAGAAAUUACACAAAGUACUAAUAAUAAAUAAGAAAUUACAUCUAUUAAUAAAAAUAAAUAAGAAAUUACAUAAAGUACUAAAAAUAAAGACGAAAUUACAUAAAAAUUACAUAAGAAAUUAAAUAAAGUACUACAAAUAAAUACGAAAUUGUACAAAGUCUCUGGAGCUAGGAUAUGUGGUGCUAGGAUCUUCGUUGCUAGAACCCCGUCAACUUGUUUCCGCAUCUCUUGCACGCCUCAUUCGCACCACGUCUCUUUUUUCCGAUGUCCAAAAACAUUUUGAAUUCGGAGACAGUCCUACUAGAGGCUUGUUCAUAGUGUCACGAUCUGCUUGAGCCAUCAUUUCUUCUCUAAGCAUCUCAUUUUCUCGAUUAAGUGCUUCUAUAAUCAUCUUGUUCUUUCGAUUAACUAUUUCUCUUUGUCUCUUAGCCACCGCAUCACGUCUCUCAAUAGCUACUAAUAUUGAUGCCAUAGCAGCAGCUUUUUCCU